ACUGAUCGCUAUGCCAACAGGGAGUAUGAAAGCCCAGGCAAAUAUUUGAGUAAUGGAAAAUCUUCGAACCAAAAGGGUUCUAGCAAAGGCACAGAGAAAUCACAUGAAUCCACUGGAGAUCAUUUGAGCGAAAAGAAACGCUCUGAAGGAAAAAAAGGUUCUAGAAGCAAUGGUCGAAAUUAAACAAUAAUCACAAACAGGUUUACUCGCAACUACUUAAGUGGAAGGAAAAUAUAUAUGCAGCAACAAAUUCUACUAUUACUGUAACAUCCAACUUUGUUGUUUCCAACUUGUUUAGAGUCUAUAGUUUGCAGUCUAAAUUGAACAAAACAAUAAGUCUAUAUUAUUCUUGUUAAUAAGUUAUUAUAAUUUGGGAUUCACAUGUACGUUUAUUUUUUAUUUCUUUU
Long non-coding RNA from Vigna unguiculata (cowpea), 407 nucleotides. RefSeq lists it as uncharacterized. Lineage: Eukaryota; Viridiplantae; Streptophyta; Magnoliopsida; Fabales; Fabaceae. The record is from RefSeq and is a predicted model, not a curated record.